GUGAUGGGCGAAAAAGGUUUAAUGUCAAGGGUGUUAUCCCCCAAGUUUGGAGGAUAUCUAACCUUUGGGACUCUUGAUGCUACAAAGAUAUCAGCACCUGGGCAGCCAACCGUCAAAGAACUGUUGGACAUUUAUAAUAUAAGGCGUAUAGGACCUGAUACAAAGGUUCUUGGUCUUAUUGCCAACCCAGUAAAACAGAGCAAGAGCCCAAUUUUGCACAAUAAAUGUCUUCAAUCUAUUGGAUACAAUGCUGUUUAUCUUCCACUUUUGGCAGAUGACCUUGCUCGAUUUCUCAGCACAUAUUCAUCUCCGGAUUUUUCAGGAUUCAGGUACUAAUUUCAGAGGAUAGAAAAAAUUACAUAGCUAUUCUAUUGGAUUGCUUGGAAUUUGAAACGUUUGGAUGGACUAGAUUUUUCUGAGUCAUACACGAGGGAUACUCCCAAUCUGGAUUCUUCUUUAGACACUUUACCUUAUUCAUACAAACGUCACCUAAUGGUUGUUAGUUUUAAUGGGAAAACCUAGCUAUCUGUAUUUUUCCUCUCAGUUCUUUGAUCGCAAGGGAGGUGAAUAGUUGCUUAGAACAGUCAUCUAUUGGCAGAUAACCCACAGGUCACAUGUUCAAAUCCCAGAAAUCAAAGUGAAAAAUUCACACAAACAACCCACCCAAUCCACAAUUAGUAGGAUCUGAGCUCUGGUCUUCAGCCAAAGAGACAAAGGUACAACACUGUUGGGAUAUGCAAUAUCUGACCCUCUGUAUUGGUUUGUUACUGUGUUUUUUUUCUCACUUCUCUUUAUAUCCAAACUUUUACAGAGUACUUACUGUGCAUAGCUCUGCACAAUCUGGGAGAGAGCCCAAAAUAGACAUUUUAGUUUGGGGGUAAACAAGAGGCCAGUUGUCUGAAACUCUGAAUGCAACAAAUCAUUUUCGUGGAAAGACUUUUGUUAGCAUACUCCCCUCCUGGCAUGAAAAAUAUCAAUUUGGAAUAUACAGUGGUCUCUAAGAUGCAACUCUGACGACUCGUUUCAAUUUCAAUAUUUCUAUUGUUUACAAUAAAAUUCUAAUAUAAUGGAAGCACUUUUUUAGACAAAUCUACAAAUAUGAUUCCCAUGUUCCAAUAUAAUACAUAUUUAAAUGUAUAUAUGGAUGUAUUUAUGUAUAUAUAGAAAUGCACAAAGCGUUACUCCCUCUGUCCCAAAAUAUAAGGACUUUUAUAGUUGGACACGGAUAUUAAGGAGAAAAUUAAAGUAAAGUGAGGGAUGAUUGUGAUUAGUUGAGAUGAGAAAGUAGGUGAAGAAAUUAAAUGAGAUGGUGGUCGUGACUGGUUGAGGUGAGGAAGUCGGUGGAGAAAUAGCUAUAUUUUGGGAUGACAUUUGAAUGCUAAAGGUAGCUAUAUUUGGGAUGGAGGGAGUAGAGAUUUGACUUGAUGCAUAUGCAAAAUAACAUGUUUUGUUUUCCCGACUGGAGGGGGUAUUUCACAAGAACAAAUCUGAGUUCAUGCUAUAUGACUAAAUGUAAUGCAGUUGCUCUCUUCCUUUCAAAGUGGACGCUGUACAGUGUUGCCAUGAACAUGACCCAGUUGCUAAGGUACCUUGAUGUGGUACACUUGAUCUAAUUGCUUCAUUUAAUUACCAUUUUCAGAUUUCUUUGACCUUUGAUAUUUUCUUCAAUCUGCAGUCAAUCGGUGCCAUAAACACCAUAAUUAGGAGACCAGAUGGCAAACUAGUGGGCUACAAUACUGACUACAUUGGAGCAAUUUCUGCUAUUGAGGAUGGCAUAGGAGGUUUUUAUAAUCGUAAUUCUGGAGCAAUUUUUUUACUCUUUUUUGGGAGUCAUGGAAAAAUAUCUGAUAAAUUAUGUUUCACAGGCCCAGGAUCAAAGGAUGCUGCCAUCUCACCUUUGGCUGGCAGGCUUGUUGUUGUUGUAGGUGCUGGUGGAGCUGGUAAGGCAAUUGCUUAUGGGGCAAAGGAGAAGGGUGCAAGAGUUGUAGUAGCAAAUCGUACCUACGGUAAGAUUGUGUUUCUGAGCCAAAUAUUCUUUGUCUGUAAUUAUGCAAUUUCUGUGCCUACCUAAUUCUAUCAUCAUGUGCAAAUCAUAAAGAAUUCAUUUUGUGAUAUAAAGUUCUGAACUAUGCUCCUCACUCCCUCAGCCAAUGAUUAAUGCAUGCAAUCUGGGAAGAUAUAUUAACUCAUUUUUAUUAUCCAUGUUUUUAUCAGUCAUGUGGAGCCCACUAGGGCCAGAUAGAAACACUGGUCAAUGACUCUAGGCCAGCAGCAUUGCACACGUGAACAGUACCCACGCGAAGGGUGAAUGUCAUGUGCAGCCCAUUAAGGUCCAAAGCAGCAAUAGGCCUGCCUAGGGUCUGCGGUACUGCAGGUCAACAGUAACUGCAUCGUUGUUCACGAUGGCUGUUUAGUCAGAGAUUGGAUUAGAUUGACUAGUUAGCUAUUUCCUAUCUCUAUCUAAAAGGGUGGUUACUGCUCAGGAUGCUUUGCAUUUCUUUCAUUUUAGAACUUGUGUCCUGGUAGUAGCCUAUACAACUAUUCUAUUUUCCACAUCAACUCCCUCUUUAUUGAUCCUUAAGUUGACAUCCUGUAUAUAAGCCUCAGGAUAUUUUCUUGUCAACUGUUUUCACGUUAAGAUCAAAUUUGUAAAUUCAAUCCAUAACAGAAAAAAACACAAGAAAAAUUCGUCUGAUCAGGCAUUCUUGGCAUUAGACUUAGGACAUUAACUUUCUCUAAGGUAGGAGUAGAACUCACUGGAAUUUGGUCAUUUGUUUCUUAUUGUACAUCCAAUUUUGAGUAAAGUUGGAGUGGAAUGAUUAAUGUCACUGGUUGAAUAAGCAUAUUUACUACUGGAUUCCCAGAGGCUUGUAGCACGCUAGCACUAUUGUCUCCGACAUAGUGGGUCUUUCAGUUAUGGCCAUAAGCAUUCAUGUUUUGUUACUCUGGCAAGUGAUCUCAACCAAAUGUAUGCACAAUAUAUAUAUUUUGCGGGGAUGCAGAAUAUUGUCUAACUUUUGUGAUCUUGUAUUACUAACGCAUGCAUUUUUUAUUAUCCAAGAUGGGUAAUUACUCCAUUUUGAAAAGAUGGUGCCUAUAUUUUUCACAAAAUUUCUCUCGAAAUAUAAAGCCUGCAUGUGAUUUUACUAUGAUAUAUCUUCUGUGUCCCUAUUUGGCACAUUUCUCCCUAACAUUAUCAUUCUACUGCUAAAUGUCAUCUAUGUCGAAUAGAUUGAACAAUGCUCUCGCUAAGUACUCUCUUAUUUUGAUUUUUUUUCUUCUUGAAUACGAAUUUCGAAUCAAUUUAAGUAUGGGUAGUAUGCUCAUUUUAUCUUCUUUCUCUUUAUUUCAUACAUUUCUUAGUAUUCUCGUCCUAAAUAAGCCCUGUAUUUUGAAAACGGUAGAGUACCUUGUUUACUGAAUAUACUACACUUGCAUUAUCAUUCUAGUACUAAAUGUCAACUAUGCUCGAAUAGACUGCUACUGUUCAUGGAACAGUCAUGUCAAAGUGCAUUGCAUAAGCCACCCCAAAAAUACUAGUAUUUCUUUGUGUAGUUAUUUGGACAACUCUUUCUGCACUUGCAAUCAACAGUAGCAGUCUAUGCUGAUCACAUCAACUAUUCUUAAGUUAGCAAAUAAAAUAUGUAUAUCUUUUUUGUAAUUUUUGUUCCAUCAAUUCUUGUUUCAAACUGGAUAUGAGGCAUCUGGUUAUAAAGCUCAAAAUUGAUCGUAUUUCAGUACAUCAUGUAAUUGAUAAUUUUCUUGAGUUCUUCAGAAAAAGCAGUAAGUCUUGCUGCUGCAGUGGGUGGUCAUGCCCUGAGAUUAGCCGAGCUUGAAACUUUCAGGCCUGAAGAAGGGAUGAUCCUUGCUAAUGCGACAUCAUUGGGAAUGUACCCCAAUGUGGACGGCACCCCUAUCCCAAAGGUAUCUUGCUCAUGCAUGCACCAUGUUAUAUUCCAGAACAGCAUACUUGGAAGCUCUAUUACCACCUUUAGAAUUAACCUCAGCAUACUCUCUUGUUACAUUUGAGAUUAUCUUGAUAUAGCUGUCUGCUCAGUGCUGCCUCAAUAUUUGUUAUAAAUUCCAUUGUUUUCGCAGAAAGCAUUAAGCUUCUAUGAUGUUGUAUUUGAUGCGGUAUAUGCCCCGAAAGUUACCCGGCUUCUACGAGAAGCAGAAGAAUGUGGGAUUAAAGUUGUCAGCGGUGUAGAGAUGUUUGUCAGACAAGCCAUGGGUCAGUUUGAGCAUUUCACAGGUGGUAUUGAAGGUAUUGUGCUCUUUUAACUUAUAUAUCAUAUACCUUAUUAUGUCGAAUGUUUUUUGUGGACCUACUUAGCUAAUACACCUUCAUCUUUCUGAUAAUCUGCUUUUGCAGCUCCUGAAAGCCUGAUGCGUGAGAUAGCUGCCAAAUACACAUAACAGGUUCAUUCUUCAUCUUUUGCCUUUUCAUUUCUAUGCUUCUAGUCAAGUAGUCAUGAUGGGUUAGCAUAUUAGAUUCUGUUAGCAUAUUACACCAUGCCAAAUCCACAAGGGCAAGAUGUAUAUGUAAUCCAACCCAUAGAACUAAUAUAGUUUAGGACCCAAACUACAUAUAAUGCUAAUAAUGAUAGGCUACUAGUUACUUCCUCCGUCCCAAAAUAUAAGGGAUUUUGGAGGGAUGUGACACAUCCUAGUACUACGAAUCGGGACAAACUCUGUCCAGAUUCAUAGUACUAGAAAAUAUCACAUCCCUCCAAAAUCCCUUAUAUUAUGGGACGGAGGGAGUAUAGAAUUUGGUUCUUUGAUACGGUUUUUGAUUUGAGAACCACCUCCUUGUAGGAUUGGUUAGUCUAUCAUGGGAUGAUCUCAUGAACUUUGGUGGGAUGGCCCCAUCCUAUAAUUUGUAUUGCCUAUGCAUACGUGCUUAUGAGGGGUGGAUGGAUUUUAGGUGGUGAUGGACCAACAAGAUCCCAUUUCACAAACCAAACAAUCUUGUUUGGUUCCAACAUGCAUUCAUUUAGUGUGGUUUGAUAGGCUUUCCCACCUUGUUGAGCUGUGGACACUAUAAAUCAGCGGUUUUGUUUAUGUUAGCCACGUGGAAAUGACUUGAGUUGUAAUCAAUGCCAUGGAAACCAUUCGUUUUCAUUUACUAAGAUAUACUGAUCAUUACCAUCGCUUAUUAAUGCUCAUUGGAUGCAACUUUUUUUUUGAUAUAACCAUGUUUCUGUAGGCGAAUGGCGAAGCGACGGUUGUGAGUAAUUAGCCCAAAUAUUCCUCUGGGUUAAGUUAAUAAAAGUUUUGGAUGCCAGCCCAAUUUUGUGCUAGGUGGAGAUUAGUUGUUGUAAUGUUCGAUUUCGCCGACUUAACCUGUCAGAGAUGUAAACAGAAAGUGUUCAAUCUCAUCAUACUUGCAAUAAAGAAUUUGCAUGCAUAACUGCGCAGUUGCUUGAUGAUCAUGAUGAGUUUUAAGGAAACAAUACACAUCAAGCUAUGAUCAGGUGGUUUCAUGUUCAUCAUUCGUAAUGGAACCAAUAUCUGUGAUUGGCAAUGAUACAUCAUUGUAAUAUUCAGCUGCUUAUGCUCUACUCCUUUCCAUUGUACUUCAUGUCAGUCUGGAGAAGAAAGGUGUACGUGAUUGCUGGACGUUUGACCUAUGAAUGUUCAAGUCCAUUCAGAGAAUUAUUAUAUAAAGCUCUGGUUUAUGCCUAAGUUUGCAGCUUAAAAUGGAACUUUAUCAGGCAAGGAUGCUCUGUCUCAGGAUCUGUACUCUAUGAGUAUGAUCUUUUGAUAACGUGGCAGUUUGAAUCACUCGAUGUUUUUCUCUUUUGGGUUGGGCAAGGAUGUAACCUAAGAUUUCUUAGUUGACUACGGUUGUUAUCGGAUCACUAAGCUUCUCUAAUACUUCCUUCAUUCCAAAAUAAAUUAUUUUUUCACCUAUCUCACACAUCAACACAAAACUUAAAAGAUAAGAAUACUUUUACUUUAUCAAAUCUCAAUAUAGAUAUUCUUCACUUUAUUUAUUUUUAAUAUAAUUAUUUCUUAUUUUCACAAACUCUGAUACAUUUACUUAAAAAAUGAGUUUAUUUUAGGAUAAAUGAGGAGUCAAAAAUAAAUUUAUUAUAAGAUGGGGGGAGUAGGUUCUAGCUGGUUGAAAACUGUAUCGAUCAGUUGAUUCCAAAGGAUUAGACUGCCUCUAUUAACCCUCUGGACGGUCUAUGAAAACUGUAAUGACCAGUUGAUGCAACAAAUCAUGUGGUAUUUGAGCUUUUAUAUGCUGGACUAGCAGCAGAAACUGACAAAAGUAGUUAAAUGCUAAAAGUAACCGGUGGUGUUCGAAACUGGUGAGAUGAAGAUUAAGUAGAUGCAAAUAAAAUAAGAAAGUUAUUAGUACAUGAUUAAUUAAAUUAAAUUAUCAUAAAUUUGAUAAAUGGAUAUAUUUGAUAUUUUAAAGCAACUUCUGUAUAAAAAAUUUUCGCACGGAAAACACCAUUUAGUAGUUUGAAAAACGUGCUAAUUGAAAUUGGGGUAAAAUCCGAAUCUUAAUAAGAAAAGAAUAUUGUUUAAAUAUAGAUAAAAUAAUUGAAACCAUCAAUGAUGACCAGUAUUGCAUACUGACGUAAUCACAUGCAUUUAUAUUUUACAUGAACCGUCGAGGUACCGGUUGUAUUCACGUCGUGUUCAUCGUCAGAACUCGCCGUUGUAGUUUCUCUCUCUAUCGGGACCACGUCAUUAUCGGUCACGUUCUUGCUGUUAUGAUUUUCUUCGUUGCCAAUAUCCAUCAUCUAUGGACGAGUCACAUCGUGGGACACAUCCUACCAUCUUACUUACUAUUAUUGGUUCACCGAAGCACCAGCAUCCAUCUUCCCUCCUUUUUGUUUCUCGCUUUUGGCUAGGAAAGACGAUGAACAAUGCCUGUUGGGUGCUAUUGCUUCUUUGUCCAACCUAACCAUGCUCCUGAAUCACUCACAUAAUAUUGAAACCAUAGUAAUAUGAAUAUAAUAGGAAAAUUCUAAUUUAUGUUAAUGAAACGGGCACCCGUUCGGAAUUAAUGGAUCAAAUUUUCAUCUAUGAGUUAAAGUAAGCUUUUUCAAUUUCUAGCUAAUUUCAUUUGUUUUUUCAUUUACAAUUUUAGUUUUAGCACUAUUUGAUCCACUAAAAAUUAUUUUUAACUUAUAAUUUUUCUCUGUAUUGAAUUAUUUAUAGCUAAAUGAAAAAAGGGGAUUUAGUUAUAUAAUUGUUUUAAUAUUAAAUUAUCAUUCCGACCAAACUUAUUUGUGGUUUCAUGUCGUUAUUUUUUUAUUAUAUUUCUUUCAUCAUUUAUGCCGAAUUAUGAUAUAUGAUUUUAAUUUAUGUCAAUGAAAGUUAUCUAGAAUCUAUUACAAUACACAAACGUUAUGCUAGUACAUAUAAAUAUUAUAUGUACGUAUAUGCAAUUUUGCUGUAUAUUUAUCAACAAAUUUUCUCCUAAAAAUUUGACGGAUGUAAUUACAGUACAAUCGUAAUGUAACUAGUAUGUAACUACAAUGCAACUUGUAUGUAACUUUUACAUAAUUUUGAACCGUUAGAUUUGUUUCAAGAUUUGUGCAACUAAAGAAGGAAAAAUGUCAUUGCGCGCAUAUAUGCAAGAGGAUUCGUUCCCACGACCUCUUCACCGAAAUAGCAUGUUACGAAGAAAUUUUUGAAAGUGAUAUACAAGUUACAUAUAAGAUACGGUGUAAUUAGAUCAUGAUUAUACUAUAAUUAUAUUUGUCAAAUUUUUAGAAAAUUUGACGAACAAUGCCCCACGACACGCGGUGUCCGCGUCAUCUUCCGGAACGGCAAAAAUAUAGUCCUAUCACUUUUCCGGCGGCAACCCCAAUUUGGCAACUCCCGAGUCUCCGACACAAUGCCAAAUUGCUUAAUUUCCCUUGCCCGGCCGGCUGCUCCCACACUCCCACACUCCCACCUCACCAACCCACGCCACCCUGCUACGCCCACCGCCACAGCCGCCACACCCAAACCCAACACACCUCCCGACCCGACCCGCCCCGCCCCCCACCUCACACUUCACCAUCAGUACUCUGGCACUCUGCCACUGCCGAUCUCGCUCGCGCGAGCAUUCACGUCGUCGCUACCGAAGGAGGAGGAGGAGGAGAUGACGCUCCUGUGCGUGCCGCUGGUGGCCCGCACGGUGGAGGCGAUGCGGGCCGACGCGGCCGCGGCCGCUGCCGCCGGCGCCGACCUCGUCGAGAUCCGGCUCGACUUCAUCGGCAGCAAGUUCCGCCCGCGGGAGGAUCUCCCGCGCCUGCUCCGCGGCUGCCCGCUCCCCGCCAUCGUCACCUACAGGUCAGAACCCCGGCCCUCUCCCGCUCUUGCUACCCUACCGUACGUCGUGCUCUCUCAGGCAGCUACCGCGCACCGCGCGCUGGACUGGUUUGAUACAGGAUUUGCGUCCAUUUAGCGCGUGUUCAUAUGCACAGCUUGCAAGUUGCAACGUUUCGAGUGUUUCAGCUUACCAUGCAUGAUUAUUCCUGCUUUGCUUUGCUUUUGGGGUUGUAUACAUUUUUCGGGAUGGAUUUUGGGCGCUCCCUGUUUUUUUCCCUUUUCUUUUGAAUUUUUAGCACAGAUUAUUUACUCAAUGCUUUUAAAAGUGUGAUUUCUCUAAUGCUUUUAAUUAGUACUUAUGCGGCUAGACUGCGUUCGUUUGAAACGAUUGGGAUCUUUUUCCUUUCCCACGUAAACCACAUAAACCGGAACAGUGUAUGAUUAAUUAGGUAUUGGUUUAAAAUAUAUUAAUAUGAUUUUGUAAGCAACUUUUACGUAGAAUUUUUUUAAGAAAAUAACAUUUACCACCUCGUAAAAAGUUUGCGUGGAAAAUAAGAAAGUAGUAGUUAAAAAAAGUGAAGCGAAACAUACCUGAUGAACCCUGAGUUCAUCUCGACACUCAAGGCUGUUGUUGGCCCGAUCUUUCGGUGAGUUGUGAUAACUACGAUUUGGGAGAAACGUUGACGAUCCGACUACAACUGUACAAAACCGUUGCGUUGCGCCUUAGCGAUCGAUACACCUCUCCGUGGGUUGUUGAUCUUGCCGGUGCAGAUCAACCUUAUUCCUGCAAGCUAUCGAGAACAAGCAAGAACAAGAUAUAAAGCAACUGAAUUGCUAGAUAGACAAGACGCACAAAGAUAAAUUGAUACACGAUAAAGUGGGGUUCCGAACAAGCAGACGGACGGUCUAGCCGACACGCGCGCUGCAAGCGAAGUAGCAAUGGCUAAACUUACAAUUAAUCAAAACCCGCGAAACUCUGAAGGGGUACCUAACUAUUUAAAGAGAUAGGAGGACGACCAAGGGCACUCUAGGGUCGUGCUCCACCUGGUUGGGGCGCACCCCACUUGGGCCCCACUUGGGCCAGGGUCCCAAACGAAGUUACAAGCCCAAAGGCCCAUGACAGGUGACGCAGCACCUUGUUUGUUCAUCCGCGGAUGACUAGGAUGGAAUUUGGCGAUGAGGCUGGAUCCAUUGGAAAGAGGACUCCGUAGGCUUUCCAUCAAGUACUCACGGGCCAAAAACGGAGGUCGUAUGCAGAUUCGGCGGCCGUUUGAAAUCAACAGUGCAGCAGGUGGCCGAAUCGGAUUCCAGCACUUGGAGACCUUGAUCUUGAUGUCUUCUUGUUCACGCAUUAUGUGAGCAAUGGUUGUAUCCGUAGUAGCCAUGGUCACAUCAGUACCCGAGGAAGAUCCAAGCUUUUUCUAACUAUUUCUUUAGGCGGUGCAGAGAGGAUACGACAAGAAAAAUAAAACGGCAACUUGACUAAAGAGUGAACAAUUUUAUUCCUUAAUGCUGGCCAUAUACAUAUUAUAAGAGUCACGAGCUCCCUCAGGAAUCAAACACUUUGUAGUUUGUACUCUAGUAUUUCCUAUACUCACUCCGUCACUCGUCAAUACAAUAUAGGUUAAUUCUUCAUGAGACUUGAUAUAGUUUUUAGUACUGCGAUUUGUUUCAACAAGAUGAGUUUGCGCCAAGGUACGAUGCCGUCGAUGCGUACUAGAUACAUAUAAAGAUUUCGCCUGCUUUUCUACCACAUCCAGAAGUUGAAUUUAGAAGAGUUUGAUUUUGAAGUCAUUUUAUGAAAACAAUUUUUUAAUAUAGGCUUUCAAACCGCUAAUAAAAAUAUUAAACCAUAUUUUUGUUUGCUUCUUUUCACGUACAUGUCAGCUGUGGUUUUGAACAAUCAAAGUCGUAUGUACCCCUGCAUUCUUAAAAAAUCAAUUCUAAUUAUAAACCUAGAUAUAUGCGUGUCAGGUUUGUAUAUAGGGUUUUAUCUUCUUUUAGAACAGACUAGUAGGCACAAAUAAUCUAAGCGAACAACUAGCAUGUAUUUUAUUUACAGUACGUGACACUUCUGCUCUAUCCGCUAUUAGUAGUACUUUUUUUUUUAGAACUGGUAUUAGUACUAUUUCUACUUUUUUUUUUUCGCAUUGCAUGUUUCACAUGUGCACAGGCAGUUGUGGCAGUCAGAGUGUGUUGGGACUUGGGAGAGUUGUACUGGGAGGGAGGCAGUGUCAAGUGAGGCUAUGCGAUCUGCGAUACUAUAAGCUUGUAUAUGUUCGGUUGUUCACUUUAUCAUCAUUUUAACUUUGCUAAAUUUUGAUAGGGGUAAUAAUCUAAAACAAAAUCUUAGCAAUAUCAUUCUACCAAAAAUUAGUAUACUAUAAUAGUACGGACAUGCUGUUGUUAUCUCUGCCAUGGGAGUACCUAUACAUCUUUCGAAAGAUUUUUAUAAUCGUAUCACACAGAUUUUUAAUCUUUGUAUUAAAAUCUGAUAGAUAUAAUAAAAAGCAAAAAGCAAUUAAGAAACACCAUAAUGAACAUUAAAUUACCAUAUCCUCAAGAAAAAGACCAAAUCAAAUAUAAAAUUUAAAAUUUACAUGUGAAGAUUCAAAAAUUACAGUGUAACUUACAAAAGUUACAGUGUAAGUUUCAUAAAUUACACUAUAACUUACAAGAAAAUGCACUGUAAAUUUGAGUGAGAAAAUCGAGUGAGAGAUAAGAAAAAAUCUUUCGAGUGAGAUAUAGCAAAAUCGCUCUGCCAUUGCUUUUUAAUUGCACGGUUAGUUUUUUCAUGGCGUGUUUUGAUUGCGGGGGCAGGAAGGCCCAUAUCAGGCCCAAAUUCAUUCAGUCUGGCGGUCAUGAAGUUCUGAAGCUACGGGAAUGGCGACGAACUAAUCGUGAGAUAGAUAAUUCUGCCGAUUCCUGUCGCAUAUGCUUCCCGAAGAACAACGAGCACAUGCUUUGUUGCGAUCAAAGAGAAGAAAUACUGCAUAUGCGUAUGGUGCUAUAGCUUCAUGAUCAAACUUGUAUCUACGAGGCAACGGCGUUAAAAAUUAAAAAUCAAAUGGGAUAGUAGAUAAGAUAUACAAUUCGUGAUACUCGAGGUAACAAGGCUAAUUAUUUAUCUGGUCAAGAUAGAGAGUUCUCCGGUUGGUCCAUGCGCAGUAGAAAGAGAGAGCGAAGCAAACACUCAAACAGCAGCUACACUGCUACAGUGCUACAGCAGGCGGCAAUAAGGGAAAAAACUGGAGGCGACACGUCCGAAUCGGACGACCACGUCAUCAUGACGUCAUCCUGCAUACAUAAGUGAACUUUAAACUAUUUUUUUCUCUUAAAUUAUUUAUCCAAAUCAUGAUCCGAUUGCACCAUUAAAUUUAUUGCAAUUAAAUCUUUAAAACAAGACCACACAUGAAUAUAAUCCGAUGAACUUUUUUAAGCUUAUUAUUGAAUUAUUUUUAAUAAAUGUUGCACGCUGUUGCACUAAGUAUAUGGAAUUGUUUUACUAAGUAGAUCGAAAAUGUUUCAUCGGACGCUGUUUCACCUUAUAUGAAAACAAUGUUUCAGCGAAUAGCGAAAUGAUGUUUCAAUUCACUGCAACAUUUGAUUCAUACAUAGUGAAACAAUAAGUAAAUUACGUGAACUUUUUUGUGGAAAAAAAUGAAAUGGAUUCCCUUAAUAGAGGGUUUCUAUAAUAUGUGGGUAAUUUGUUACAAAAGAAUUGUUUCAAUUCACUGCAACAUUUGAUCCAUACAUAGUGAAACAUUAUGAGUACAUUAUAGAGGGUUUCCAUAAUAUGUGGGUGAUUUGUUGCAACGGCGUGUAUGGUGGGGACACGUGGCGGGAGCAGCGCGGGGACAUGUGGCGGGUAGGGCGCGCGCGCGGGAGGGCAUGACGUGUGGCGCCCGAUUUUACUCCCCACGUCGAGCGCCCGAUUCUAGGCAUUCCUAAAAAGAAAUAAUAAAAAAAAGGAGUACACUUAUUCGGAUUUGUAACAUAACGAUAUCUAGGGAUGAAAAUGGGGCGGGUAUAUUCCAACCGCCCGCCCUACCCGAGGCUCACAGGAGGAAUAUGGGAGAAAAAAUGGGAUACCCAAUACUAUCCAAGUUCGAAUCCGAAUUCGUUAGAAAAUAUGGGUUAGGAUACGGGAAAACAUGUAUCCGCCCGCAUACCCCAUAUUAUAAAAUAUAUAUGAAAAUCUAUUAUAAAUCCACUUACAAACAUGAUAAAAGAUUGGUUAAUCACUAUUUUUUAUGAGCUCACAUGUAAUAUUGCAUAAUUUUUCUCUUGAUGUAUCUCUUUUAAUACUUUAAUUACCUUAUUAUGUUUAAUAUCUAUGAAUUAGAGAUACAAAUAGAUAUCCGUUUCCGAAUCCGAUUUGAUGAAAAUAAUAUGGGAUAGAAUACGAGAUGAGUGAUAUAUUAUCCGUCACUAACCGUACCCGACUCCGAGUUUAAAGAAAAAUAUGGGUUAGGAUAUGGGAAUGCCAUAAUCCGACCGUAUCCGCCCGUUUUCACCCCUGUCGAUAUCCAAUCUUAGAUUGCUGUAUUUUGAGACGAAGAAAGCAGCUCAGGUUCUCUUAUCCUGUUUUGCCACCAUGCUCACGCGGCAAAGAACUGGCACCAAUCAAUGAGAGGAGAGGAAGCAGACAUAUACUCCCUCCAUUUAUUUUUGGCUGCUCCUAUUUAUCUCAAAAUAAGUUCUUUUUUAGAUAAACAUUACAUCGGUAUUUGUGAAAGUAGAGGCCAGAUAAAUGCAUUGGGAGCAGAUAAAGUGCAAAUAAUUGAAUUAGAAUUUGAUAAAGUGGAUGUAUUCUAGUCUUUUCAGUUUUAUGUUGAUAUGUGUGAGAUUGGUGAAAAAUGAACUUAUUCUGAGAAAGUAUUAUGUAAGAAGUUGAAGCAAACUUAUCAGUUUGACAUCUUCGGCAGCCUAAUCCAUGGCAUCUGCGCGAGGCGUCUCUACUUGGCCGGUGCAAAGUAAUUUUCGUGUAGUUUUAACUUUAAUGAUAGCGCCAUCUAUGAUUAUAAAAAGUUUUAUCUUAAAAUAUAUUUCUACUCUUAUAAAAAUUGAAGAAGUUUUUAUCGGUACUUUGGAACGUUUUCUGUGUAUGAGUCGGUUUUUAAGUUCGUUCGCUUUUGAAAAUAAAGGAGUCAUAUAAGAAGCCUCUUUAAAAACACUCGCAUGCUAGCUUGAGACAAUCGGACUCCUAAAUACAGCUCAUGAUUUUUUUUAAAAUAUAUAUAUAUAUAUAUAUCUAAGCGAAUUACUACAGUGAAUUUCAUCUCAACUAAACAAUAUAGCAAUAAUAAGAUUAAAAUAAACUUCACCCGUUGCAACACACGGGCAUUUUUUCUAGUCUUGUAUAAAGAGUAAAAAAAAGAGAUGUUAUUAAGAAGUAAAGUGCCAUUUUCAAUAGUUUGGAGGAUAAAAAAUAUUUCAGAGAUUAAGUGAUCUAGCUAUUGGAUUAGUUUGGGUAGUAAAAUGGAUUUUGUUUUUUCUUUUCUAAGCUCCCAUAUAAGCACCUAGCAUUGGAGAUGGCCUAAGCGCACACUGCUACCCUUAACAGCUAUAAUUAUUUUGGCAAUUAACAAUUACUUAAUUCCCUAUUUCAUAUUGUAGAUGCUGAUCAUAGUAACAGUAUUACCAAUGGCAGUGAAACCAUUUCUUUUUGUCAAGACUUGUGUCAUAACAACAUAUCAGGAUAAAUAGGGCAAAUGUAGCAAUGACAUGGCUAAUAGUUGGUAACAACAUGUUAUUGCACCAGUUGCUUAUCCCAGAGCGUGUUACUCUACCUAUAUACAAGCUAAUCCCUCCUUCGAAAAAUCUGAGAUCUAUUUCUUUUUCAUCAAUACCAAUAAGCAAUUAACUCACUCACCAUGUGGCAAAACAAAUAAACAUGCAAUUGAUCAACAAUUUAAUUUAGCACAUAGUAACUAUAAAUAGGACUUAGAUUUUUAGAAAAACUAAAGAAUGAAAUAGGUCUCAGAUUUUUGGAAAGAGGAAGCACUAUGUUACUGCAUGAGCAUGGCAUAGUUACUACAAUAGUAUAGGACCAUAUUACUGCACAUUCUCUACGCACUCAGUGAAAGUAGGCACGAGGUUAUUGAGAAAUCCAGCAUGCAUGCUCUUUAAGACAUGAUAGAAUAGGCAAUAAUCUAUACCUAGCUAUCUUUUACAAUUGCUAAUUCCACAAGUUUUGCCACAUUGGCCUGCUACAUGGCUUUGUGAUCUGAAAUAAACGAGCAAAUUGAUGUGAGAUCCACUAGAGAGGAGAUAAGAAAAACAUAAUUCUCUCUAUUAAAAUAUAGAGAACAACUUGGAGAAAAUUUAGUUCUCUGUUUUUCUGGGGGAUUAUGGAGCUGUUGUGAAUUUGUGAUAACACAUUCUUAAAUUUUGUGGGACAUUAAAACUAGCAAAAGUUGUAAGCUUAUAUUUGUUCCUGAAUAUAUAGCUUAAUCUAUAUUGUUUGACUAAGUUUGAAUAUUUAUUAAUAUGUGAAUAAAUUGUUCAAGAUUUCAAGUAGAACCACAAAUUUUGAAAAGUGCCCAGCUAAGAACCUAAACCCAAUUUAUUUGUUCGUCCUUUUCCGAUUGAGACAAGGUGAAAUCAUUUGUCGUUUUUGACAAGGUUGGUGCUUGCUAAACUAGUUGAGAGGACUUGCGUUCAUCAUUACCCUUGACAAGUGGCAUAAGAUCGUUCAUCAUUACCCUUGACACUCUAGAAAUUGAUAUUAUGCUGGGAUUUAAAAAAAAAAGGUCCACGUAAACAGAAUGACCAGACUUAUUUGAUUCUCUCUUCUUUAUAUUUAUCUUUUCAAUUUCUGUGCUUUAAUUGAUUUACUAUGCAAUGCAGGUACAUUUGUUUUACUUCACAAUGUUGCUCCCCACUUUGUAGUUGUUGGUUAUAUUUAUAUAACUACUGCAUAUUAGAUUCACCGUUAUGCUUUGCAUAAAUGACAUUUGUAUGUGCAUAUUUCUUUUGCAGACCCAAUUGGGAAGGAGGCCAAUAUGAAGGUGAUGAUGCUACAAGAUUUGAAGCACUCCGUUUAGCAAUGGAGCUAGGAGUAAAUUAUGUCGAUAUUGAAUUGAAGGUUUGUUACCUCAAAUAAGUUAAACUGUUACGCUGUUCCCAGUUAAUAUGUAAUAUUGUAAGCAUCCUUAGAUUUCAAAUUGAUUAGUGCCCACUAUUUUUCAAAAUGCAUAACACAUUGUAUUAAAAACGAUUCUGAAAAAUGCCUUCUUUUCAUGGUUAAACCCCACCACUACUUUUUCCUUUUAUUUGUGGAACACAAGUGCAUCCACAUUGCCUCCAUUUUUCAUUCUACCACAAUAUGACUAAUUUGAGCAUGAAAAUGUGGCCUGUACAUAACUUUGAAAAUGAGUUUUGAGUAAAUUUGGAAUAUCAUGUUGUAGCUUCAUAGCUGGAGGUACAAAUAUGACACUCAUUCAUGCAUUAUGGAUGGUGCAAUUUUAAUAUUUUUAUGUAUUUUAAUAUUCAGUUCUAUUGCUCAUGACAAGAUAGAUCAUUCCUCUUAAGUUCAAAUUGAAUCCAUUUGUCAAUCAUACUAUUUUAUUCUUUAGAGUCUAGCUGCCAUUUGGCCAUCGCAUUAGGAAGGUUAACUAAAAUAUAACACUGAAGGGGGAAAUCUAUUUUAAAAACGUCCAAUGAAUACUCAAUACAUCGUUCUUAUGCUCAUGUGGUUUCUUUUAAGAUGCUCUGGAAUGAAAUUGUAAAAAGUUCCUUUUGUAAUUACUUAAUAAACUUGAAGUCAAAAAAUUCAUGUUUUCCAUUUGUUCCUUUAGGGAACACACCAAAUAUAUUUUUUUUUGCAUCUUUAUGUUAAGUAAGGAGAGCAAACAAACAAUAAAAAAUUUGGAAAAAAAAGUAACAUGUAACUGUUCAAGACAAAAAUGCCAACCUAAAAAAAGAAAAAAAAACACAAGGUAGCUCUAGCCAAUAGUUUUUCGGGACGAUUCUUCAGUUUUUAUUCUUGUAUCUCUUAUCUCAUACUCUAUAUGUUUCAUAUUAUAAGAUGUUUUAACUUUUUCCUAAGUCAAACCUUUUUAAGUUUAUAGAGAAAUAUUGCAACAUUUAUAACAAAAUAUUAACACUAUCAAAUAUAUUCAUUGUUAGAUUUAAUGAAACUAAUUUGGUGUUGUAAAUAUUGCUAAUUUUUCAAUAAGCUUGAUCAAACUUAAAUAUGUUUGACUCGGAAAAAAAGAUCAAAACUCUUAUAAUAUGAAACAGAAGGAGUAUAUGUUUUGGAACACAAUGCAAACCUAGUUUUAAGCAAUUUAAAAAGCCAAAUGCUUUAAUAUAAUUUAAUUUUCACCAAUCAUCUAGCCAUGUAGGCUCUAUGCCUCAUUUAUCUAAGUACAUGAUUAGGACUGUAUGGGGGCACAUUUGUAUCUUCAUUAGCCACUAGGCAUUUACAUACAUAACGGCAUGCAUACUAUAUGUACUAACCAAGUUUAUUUUUCUUGUAGGUUGCUGACAAAUUUAUCAGCUUUAUUUAUGGGAGUAAGCCAGAGAAGUGCAAACUUAUUGUCUCGGCACAUAAUUAUGAAAGUACUCCAUCCUGUGAGGAGCUUGCAGAUCUUGUGGCUAGAAUACAAGCAGUUGGAGCUGAUAUAGUGAAAAUCGCAACAACAGCUAAUGACAUUGUUGAUGUGUCACAGAUGUUCCAAGUGAUGGUGCACUGCCAAGUAAGUGUCAUUUUAUAAAAUCCAAGAAAUGCUUUCACUUUUCUACAUGGAAACUUGCAUGUCACCUAUCUUGUAUAGUUGUCCCAGUACAUCUUGCCUCUAGCCCACUACUACUGCAUGCCCCCUUUAGAUUCUUUUUUUUUUAAAAAAAUAAAGGAAGCUAUUCAGAUCCAUGAUGUUUUUGAAUUAUUGCACAUGUCAAAACUUUGUGUAAUGGUCCCUAAGGCCUGUAAACAUCACUCGGCAUGGGGGAUUUUCUAUGGUUUGGAAGUAUUUUUUAAGUGAAAAACAUUAGGAUUUGUAAUUUAAUUUUAGCAUGUUGGCUUUCAGAAAAUUGUAUUUCACAAAUUGUACUUCAGCUAAGCUACAUGAGAACUACACCAAUCUAACCCUAUUUUUUUUAUAAAUAGGUCCUUUCAAAAACUUAUUUCAAAGCUAGACCGUGCAAAAAAACUUACCAAAAAUAGACCGUCGGCUCAACGCCAACCGCCUUUGCGCUGAGGUUACACUGAUCAGCGCCGACUCCCUUGCCAAUGUGGCAGCCGAGCCAAUCCCCUCGUCUACAUGGCAGGGGCUCAACACCAACCGCAUUGGCGCUAAGCUACUAAUCUCAGUGCCAAUUUCUGGUGCUGAGCUUUGGGACUUAGCUGCUCGCAGUUGGGCCACCCAACACAACUCAUAUGUUGGGCGGCCCAGAGGCGCUGAGCCGUCAAAUCUCAGUGCCAACGUAAUUGGCAAUGACCCUAAAGAUCUCAGUGCCAACUAAUUCGGCGCUAAGUUUUGUGACUUAGUCGCUCACCACAGGCCCGCUCAACACAGCUCCUGUGUUGGGCUCUGCCCUGAUGCGAGGGUUCAACGCCAAUACCCGAGGCAAGCCAUGGUGUACUUGAUAGAUGCAUUGGACUCCUUCACAUGAAACAUGGAUGCACCCGGAUAGAGUAGCUCUGCAGCCAUAUUUUCAAGUCUUCCAUAGAUUGAAAUUCCAACCCCGUUCUCGAUUCCUCCCCUAUGGCAUCGAUGGUUCCAUCUUAUUGUGGAUCCCCAUCGGCAACUGCGAGCCCAUCAUUGCUAAGAUCCUUGAAUUGAGUGAUUUCCGGAUUGCGACCAACGAUUUUCUCAAACACUCUCCUCUCUUCCUCUGACAUCUUGCCCAUUGGACGAUCGUCAUUGGAGUUAGAAGCAUACUCAUCCACAUCAUCAUCUGAAUGCACAUUCAACAAAUCCAUGUUCAAUCCAUUAAAUACCAUAGCCUCCUCACACUCCUGUCGGGUGUAAAUUUUUCUUCAAAGCAAUUCUCUGAUGUAUGAAGCCAUCUGCCUAUCAUCAAGUUCAACUUUCAUCUCAUUCUCAACUUGAUUCACAUCUAGGCCAACAUCUGACAAAUCCUCCCCUACCUCCACUUCAUCCUCAACGGGUACUUCCCCCUACCUCCAUAUCCUCCUCAACCUGUACUUCCUGCCCUACCUCCACAUCUUCCACAAUUAAUUAUUCCUUCCGAUCCGCGACAAACAUAUCGUUCUUCGGUUCAUGACAGUACAGGGGGAUUCUAUGCGCGAACUUUAAUUGAGGUCUAAAAAUUCAUUCUCCGAUUUGCUGCGCUCUUUCUUCCAAGCAAACAUCUCAAGCGAUUUGAAUUGUGACCCUAGUACUAUAUCUACAUAUGUUUCCCAUUCCACCUCUCUAUUCAAGUCUAACAUAAAAUUAUGUGAUAUGGGACCUGCGCCCACAUUGUAUCUUCCUUUCAUACCAACCGACUCAUCACUCCAAUCCAAUUCAUCUUUCGUGCGGGACUUUAACUCUUCAAAUGUGGAUUUGGCAUGAAACACUAACUAUCUAACAGUCUCCCCCGCAAAUUGGCUUCCACCAGUACUUUCAUCUACCACACAGCUACCAAUCUAUUCAUCUACAAUGUGUAAUCAAUAAAUAAAAAUAAAGUAUUUCAGAAUAGCUGAUAAAUGCCACGCCAAUCCCAAAACUAUCAAACCUAAGAACGUUCAAAUGUUUCAAAAAAAAACCCUAACAACGUAUACUAAUCUAUCCAUCCAAUAUGUAACCGAUAAAUAAAAAUAAAGUAUUUCAAAAUAACUGAUUAAUGCCACGCCAAUCCCAAAACUAACAAACCUAAGAACGUUCAAAUGUUUUAAAUAAAAUCUAACAACGUACAAAUUAUAAAUUACCACUAACCCCACCACUAAGUCCUAAUGUUUUAAAAAACACAUGAAUCAUAGUACAACUUAACUUUCAAACUCCUACAAAUUGCCUAAAACAAAUCAUUUAUCUCGGGUUACAACCACACAUCUAACCCUAGCCAUCAUCACACAUUCAAAAUAUAGGUUCAGAAAUUUACAAAUCAACAUUAAUCAACCGAAGCAACAUCAAUAUGGAACUUCCACACUAAUCACGACCCAGACAACCCAACUAACAAUAGAUCACGAGCCACAUUCCUCAAAUCAUGGUUAGAACCAAAACAACCAAAAUACAUAAUAAAAUGUUCAAGAAAUUAGGGUUUUCGAGGGAGUUUAUCUUUAAACUCGACCCCACACUCAAUCCUUACGAAAUCCCAUUUGAUUUUGUGUGGAUUUGGAGAGAUUUGGGGAAGGGAGGAGAGAGAACUUGGCGUCGUCACACGAGCACUAGGGGAGAGGAAAGGAGAGGAGAGGAAGAAGAGAUGUUGGGUUGUUGCGGCCUCGUGUCGCCCUUAGUAACCUAGCUCAACGCCAACACGGCCGGCGCUGAGGUUAGACGGUUCAGCCCCAAGGCGGUUGGCACUGAGACCCUGCCACGUAGACGAGGGGAUUGCCUCGACUGUCAUGUUGGCAGGGGGUUCAGCACCAACAGCCCUGGCACGAGCCGUCUAGCCUUAGCGCCAAGACAGUUGGUGCUGAGCCAACGGCCUAUUUUUUGUUGAAGUUUUUUGCACGGUCUAAUUUCAAAAUAACUUUUCGAAAAACCAAUUGGUUAGAAAAAAUGGAAUUGAACCUGUUAAACGAAAGAAAAAAAUAUAUAACCCCUUUUGUUCUCAUGUUCUUUCCAUAUUCGAGUCUCCGUAAUCCCUAUUUUCCUAGUGAAAGCAACUAAAACAAUGUGAAUUUACGAUGGGACUAGUUCAGCCUUAUUAAACCUUUAUGUGUUGAGGAGAUUCUUAAGAAGAAAAAAACACUAAGCUCAUGGAAAAGUUGUGCUCUUUUCUUAGCUUAUUCAUUCUUGUUGUAUUUCAUCAAGUUUGGUGUUAUUAUAUUAGGAGGUAUGCAAUAGUAUGUGGGAUAAUGUCGUAAUAUGUCUGACUUGUACUUUUAUGUUAUUUUUCCUCUAAUCCAUACCAUUUUGUAUUAACUUCCAUUUGACUGACCAGUAGAAAUGGAAAUGACAGGUGCCUAUGAUUGGACUAGUUAUGGGCGAAAAAGGUUUAAUGUCAAGGGUGUUAUCCCCCAAGUUUGGGGGAUAUCUAACCUUUGGGAGUCUUGAUGCUACAAAGGUAUCAGCACCUGGGCAGCCAACCGUCGAAGAGCUGAUAGACAUUUAUGAUAUAAGGCGCAUAGGACCUGAUACAAAGGUUCUCGGUGUUAUAGCCAACCCAGUAAAACAGAGCAAGAGCCCAG
This 20584-nucleotide long non-coding RNA is filed under the name Oryza sativa (Asian cultivated rice). RNAcentral's name for it is "long non-coding RNA (OSAT_LNC000509)". Lineage: Eukaryota; Viridiplantae; Streptophyta; Magnoliopsida; Poales; Poaceae. The record is from RNAcentral.